RNAcentral lists this ribosomal RNA (372 nucleotides) under uncultured organism. RNAcentral's name for it is "partial 16S ribosomal RNA". It matches the Rfam family "Bacterial small subunit ribosomal RNA", at positions 527 to 896 of the family's 1533-position model. The record is from RNAcentral.
GGAGGGGGCUAGCGUUGUUCAGAAUUACUGGGCGUAAAGGGCGCGUAGGCGGCCUGCCAAGUUAGGGGUGAAAGGCCCGGGCUCAACCCGGGAACUGCCCUUGAAACUGGCAAGCUAGAGUCCGAGAGAGGAUGGCGGAAUUCCCAGUGUAGAGGUGAAAUUCGUAGAUAUUGGGAAGAACACCGGUGGCGAAGGCGGCCAUCUGGCUCGGUACUGACGCUGAGGCGCGAAAGCGUGGGGAGCAAACAGGAUUAGAUACCCUGGUAGUCCACGCCGUAAACGAUGUGUGCUAGACGUUGGGGGUCUUAGGCCCUCCCGGUGUCGCAGCUAACGCGUUAAGCACACCGCCUGGGGAGUACGGCCGCAAGGUUA